UGUAAAGCUCUGUCAGGAGUUAAGAAAUAUAAGUAUGCUAAUACCAUAUUUAUUUGACGAAGGCUCCAAAGGAAGCCACGGCUAACUCUGUGCCAGCAGCCGCGGUAAUACAGAGGUGGCAAGCGUUGUUCGGAAUUAUUGGGCGUAAAGAGCACGUAGGUGGGUUUGUAAGUCAGAUGUGAAAGCCUUCUGUUCAACGGAAGAAUUGCAUCUGAAACUGCGAGUCUUGAGUGUAGGAGGGGAGAAUGGAACUUCUGGCGGAGCGGUGAAAUGCGUAGACAUCAGAAGGAACACCGGCGGCGAAAGCGAUUCUCUGGCCUAUUACUGACACUCAGUGUGCGAAAGCUAGGGGAGCAAACGGGAUUAGAUACCCCGGUAGUCCUAGCCGUAAACGAUGGGCACUAAGUAGAGGGAAUUACCGAUGUUCUCUCUGCCGUAGCUAACGCAUUAAGUGCCCCGCCUGGGGAGUACGGCCGCAAGGCUAAAACUCAAAAGAAUUGACGGGGGCUCGCACAAGCGGUGGAGCAUGUGGCUUAAUUCGAUGCAACGCGAAGAACCUUACCGGGGCUUGACAUGGUAGAAGUAGAAACCCGAAAGGGUAACGAACGGUAUCCAGUCCGUAACUAUCACAGGUGUUGCAUGGCUGUCGUCAGCUCGUGUCGUGAGACGUUGGGUUAAGUCCCCUAACGAGCGAAACCCUUGUUUUUAGUUACCAGCGGGUUAUGCCGGGUACUCUAGAAAGACUGCCGUCGUCAAGACGGAGGAAGGUGGGGAUGACGUCAAGUCAUCAUGGCCCUUAUGCCCCGGGCUGCACACGUGCUACAAUGGUCGGUACAAACGGAAGCGAAGCCGAGAGGUGAAGCGAAUCCUAA
This 872-nucleotide ribosomal RNA is filed under the name uncultured Planctomycetota bacterium. RNAcentral describes it as "bacterial SSU rRNA". It matches the Rfam family "Bacterial small subunit ribosomal RNA", at positions 424 to 1277 of the family's 1533-position model. The record is from RNAcentral. Lineage: Bacteria; Pseudomonadati; Planctomycetota.